GACGAACCGUGCGAGCGUUGUUCGGAAUCACUGGGCUUAAAGGGCGCGUAGGCGGGUCUUCAAGUUUGGGGUGAAAUCCUCCGGCUCAACCGGAGAACUGCCUCGAAUACUGAAGGUCUCGAGGGGGAUAGGGGCAUGCGGAACUACGGGUGGAGCGGUGAAAUGCGUUGAUAUCCGUAGGAACUCCGGUGGCGAAGGCGGCGUGCUGGAUCCCUUCUGACGCUGAGGCGCGAAAGCCAGGGGAGCAAACGGG
RNAcentral lists this ribosomal RNA (253 nucleotides) under uncultured bacterium. Its description in RNAcentral is "partial 16S ribosomal RNA". It matches the Rfam family "Bacterial small subunit ribosomal RNA", at positions 524 to 776 of the family's 1533-position model. The record is from RNAcentral.